UCACAUUCUAUAAAUGAAUGCAAUCUGCCA
RNAcentral lists this non-coding RNA (30 nucleotides) under Mus musculus (house mouse). The record is from RNAcentral. Lineage: Eukaryota; Metazoa; Chordata; Mammalia; Rodentia; Muridae.